RNAcentral lists this unclassified non-coding RNA (254 nucleotides) under uncultured Acidimicrobiia bacterium. Its description in RNAcentral is "contains 16S-23S intergenic spacer region". It matches the Rfam family "Bacterial small subunit ribosomal RNA", at positions 524 to 776 of the family's 1533-position model. Lineage: Bacteria; Bacillati; Actinomycetota; Acidimicrobiia. The record is from RNAcentral.
CACGUAGGGUGCAAGCGUUGUCCGGAAUCAUUGGGCGUAAAGAGCUCGUAGGCGGCUUAGUAAGUCGGGUGUGAAAACCCCAGGCUCAACCUGGGGACGCCACCCGAUACUGCUAUAGCUAGAGUCCAGUAGGGGAGUGUGGAAUUCCCAGUGUAGCGGUGAAAUGCGCAGAUAUUGGGAGGAACACCAGCGGCGAAGGCGGCACUCUGGGCUGAUACUGACGCUGAGGAGCGAAAGCGUGGGUAGCGAACAGG